AUGCAAUGGUUGCUACAACAUUCAUGAGUACUCAUAAGGGCUGAGUAUUGGAUUCAACCCACGCUCACUUGCAUCACUUCAUGGAAUUUAUCUCGAGUGAUCGUGAGACGGUAAUAUCAUAUAAAUCUUCAAACCUAGAGAUAUGAGUUGUUGACUAUGAGUUGGUUAUUCAUUGAUUGUACGAAAACGCAUUGGUAACUCGAUGUUAUAAAACGUGCCUUUGUGAGUAAUUCAACAAGUAGUUAGUACAAGCAUAUCAGUCGAAGUUUAUCUGUUCCUUCUAGAAAUAGAAGCGAUAUCUGGGCCCCUCGAUGAUUUGGUUUUGACCUAUGUACCGGGCCCGGUCAGAACCUAAUUGAUGUGUUCAAUUUAGUUCUAUGUCGAAACAAAUCGGAGAUCGAGAAACAAAUGCUGGACAAUAAGUAAGACCAUGUUCCAUGUGUUUGUCCGGCUGAUAUCAUGAGAGCAGAGGAUUAUAUGAUCACUUAUCUUAAAUGGCGUAUCAUCAUCAUCUCAGUUCCGAGAGACUUUGAAAGAGCUACGAUUGCUAGUCGGAUUUUGAAGUCAUAUUUGCAAAUAUAGUUAUUAGACUUAUCCAAGUGGGAGACUGUUGGAUAUAGUGUCUAAGUCCAUAACUUUAUUUGGUAUGUACUUGACCCGACCCGGCAUGGUCCAUUUGGGUUGCAUGGCAUUGCAAUACUUGGAUAGACUAAAUGAGAGAAUAUGGCACUUAUGAUUAUUAAUAUAUUAUAAGUUCUAAUAUAUUAAUAAUAGUAUUAUUUAAUUAGUAAUUGAUCAAGUAUUAAUCUAGUAUUAAUUUGGUGAUCAAAGUGAGACUAAUUAAAUAUAUAGGGUUGAUUAUGACAAUCAUCAAUUCUUUUAUGGUGGAUUAAUGAUCCAUGGUUUAUGGGUUAUGGAUGUAACCAUUUGGAGCUCCAUGGAUAGUCCAUGGGAGUUACAAACCCAUGGGUCAUGAGAAAUGAAGAGUCAUGACAAUUAAGAGUAUUCAUGUGAAAACCCUAAUUGUGACACCACUAUAAAAGGGACCCUUUGGCUAGUGAAAUCGGAGCUAGUAAGGUUACUAGAGAGGGCAUAACCGAUUUUGAGUGCUAGAAGUAUUCUCUCAAGUUAUUCCAAGUUUUGUGGUGUUGUGUGAAGCAUUUGAGGCACAACAUUUGGGGUGCUAGGCUCACAAAGUCUUGAAGGAAUCCAAGCAACAACAAGGUAUGUAUUUCUACUAGUUUUUAUGUUUUAUAUAUUCCCCAUGCCAUGCUAGUUAGGAAAUAACCUUGAAAAAGAAAUUUGCAUGUAUAUAGAGAAAACAUAGAUUCAAGGUUAUUAGGGUUGCAUGUACACUUAGGAAGUGUUAGAAUGCUCAAAACCCAUCAGUGGUAUCAGAGCCUAGGAUUGUUUUCUGUAUACUUGAUGCAAAACUGCUUGAAAAUCGAAAAUUCUGCUCACUGUCGACUAGACUCGCCGAGUUCAUGGGGAGGACUCGCCGAGUCCAUGUACAAAUUCAUCCUACUCGUCGAGUAGGAUCAUGCACUCGACGAGUAGGUGCGUGCUGGGCAGUCUUUUCGUGUUUUGUUGCUGGAAAUGGAUUAAAAUCAUUAUCCCAAUCUGUUUUGGACUUGUAAAAUCUGUUUUUCAAAAUGAUAAUGAUUAUGUUAACCCAUUUUUGCAUGACUUUUAUCAAUUUUCAAGUAUUAUAUAUGUUUAUAUGAUUUCUUGAAAUUGCUUGACAUGAAUUUGUGUUCUUAUGAGUUUUUAGAAGAUCAUAGGAAUUAUGUGUAACCUCCAUGUGUGUUUAAUUCAUGAUCUUAAUGGCAAUGAUGGUGUCCAUAACUUGUCCUCAAGUUAUGGAUAACCAAAAGUCACUUCUUUAAAUUGUGAUUAAAGAACUAAAGAGGUUUCAUAAAAUGAAGAGUCUUCAUUUUUAUGAACCAUUAAAACUCAUAAGUUACAAAUUGAAGAGACUUGGAAUAGUUUCAAUUCUUGCCCUCAAGUUUUGGAAUUUGAAAAGUCUUACACUCUAAUACUUUAAUUCCAAAUUAAACCUUAGAUUUUUAAAAAGUUUAAAAAUCAACACUUAUACUAUUAUUAUAAUUUUAUUAUAUAGAUAUGUAUAAGAAUAUGUCAUUCUUACCGUUAGUAGGCCUCAUUCACGAAGCCGGUCUAUAAGGGGGGUAUAAGGUUGUUGCCUAUAAAAUGGUGACUUAAUGGGUGUCCACUCUCACCCACCGCUUCCUUGAUCGGUGGAGGGUCGUUAGCCGAACGGGUAGGAUACGACUUUAAAUUCUCAUUAAAAGUAUAAUGAAUUAUAAAGUAACUAUACAUUAUAAAUUCCCAAUCUUAGUUACUUUAGGAAAAUGUGAAAUUGGUGCUAGCCCAUAAAAUUACACUUUGUACCUUACCAAGUCGUUAGUGGAGCGUGUGUGGUUAACCGGCACACUAACAUGGACUAGUAAGAGUGGCAAAGGGUAACUUGACUUUAUUAUAGAUCGGUGGAGCGUGUGUGGUUAACCGGCACAUCGAUUAGGUAAUAUUGUUAAGGGUACCAAGUCAAUUUGUAUGGUUAUUCACACCUUGUUUGUGAUCCUCGGCAUCCCAGUCACAAACUUGAGAGGGCACAUUCGAGAUUCAAACAUGCCAUUGAAAAGUUCAAUGUAUCUCAAAAGAUCUAGGAGUUUCAAAACCAAUAAAACCUAAUAAUAAAAUAUUUCGUCUUAUGGUGGAAAUUGGUAAAUCGUCAUUUACCUACCUUCAAAUAUUUUAUAGUGUGGAUUACGGCAUCCCUCUUCCACCUAUAAAUAGUUUGUUGGAUCCUAGCCUUAAUAUUUCAUUUGGGUGACUUAUUAAGGAUUCUUAAUCUAAUGAAACUUAUCUUCCUUUUAUUCCAGAUGUCUUCCAAUAACGCUGCUGGCUCAAACCCUACAGGCUCCUUUUCCCUAAUGAACUUGUGUGGUAAGGUCAUCUUUGAUGGAUCCAACUUUAAUGAGUGGAUCAGAAACAUCAGGAUGAUUACCCGCUAUGAGGACAAAGAAUAUGUCCUUGAUAGGGAGCUUAAGGUUGUUAAUGAAGCCACUGCUACUCCAGAAGAGCUUGCGGAGUUCAUUGCGCAUGAGAAGGAUGCCACCAAGGUGUCCUGCAUCAUGAUGGCCACAAUGACUCCGGAACUCCAAAAAUCUUAUGAAGAUUUCUACCCCUAUGAGAUGCACCUAGAUCUGAUGGAAAGGUACCAUCAGAGCGCGCGUCAAGAGAGGUAUGAAAUCAUUUCCUCCAUGAUAACCGCAAGGAUGAAGGAUGGUGAACCCAUCACCGGUCACUUGCAGAAGAUGCAGAGGUUCGUUGACCGGUUGCUAAAGCUCAAUGUUGACUUCCCUGAGGAAUUGGCGAUUGACAUCAUUCUCCAUUCCUUACCUCCAAGUUAUGAUCAGUUUCGUAUGACUUAUCAUAUGAACAAGGAGGAAGUCACACUUAGCAAACUUCAAGGACUCUUAAGGACAGCUGAAAAUGGCCUUAAGGGUAAAGCGGUUGCUACUUCUACUCCUUUAACAGCCCCUGUUCUUGCAAUUGGGCAAGGGAAGGGUAAGAAGAGGAAAAGCCCUUCAAAGGGUACCAAGGGUAAGACUCUUGAUGGUUCCUCUUCAAGUGGGACAAAGAAAGGUCCCAUUACUCCUUCUUCGAACCCAAAGGAAGCACAGUGCUUCUAUUGCCAAGAUAAGGGACACUUCAAGCGAAGCUGCGCCAAAUAUCUGCAAGAUGUAAAGGAUGGGAAGGUUAAACCCACCCAUGCAGGUAUUUACACAAUAUUGUCUAACAACUCAUCUAAUGCUAAUUCUUGGGUGCUUGAUACAGGGUGUGGUAUUCACAUUUGUACUGAUUUGCAGGCACUAAGAAGAAGUGAGCAAGUGGAGCACGGGAAGAUAAACUUAGUCAUGGGCAACAGGAAAGCAUCACCUGUUACCAAGAUAGGAGUUUAUUCUUUAUUGCUUAAUAAUGGGUUAAUGUUAGAUUUGAAUAAGUGUUGUUACUCGCCCGAAAUGGCGAGAAAUAUUAUUUCUUUUCAUGGCUUGUACAAACAAGGUUUUACAUUUUCAUUUGAUAAUAAAAAUGGUGCUAUUAAUGUUUAUUACAAUGAUGUAUUUUACUUUAAAGCAAUACCUUGUGAUGGUGUAUAUGAAGCCGUGAAUGUUGUAGACAAUCUAGGAAAUAAUGUGUUGUAUAUUGAUUCUUCUGAUAGCUUGGAUAAAGCAUCCUUGUGGCAUUGUCGUCUUGGACAUGUUAGCAAGAAGCGCAUAGGCCAACUCCAAAAGGCUGGAGUCUUGGAAUCAUUUGACCUCAAGUCAGAUGAUAGUUGCGAGUCUUGUUUACUUGGAAAAAUGACAAAGUCGCCCUUCACAGGUACUUGUGAUAGGGGUGAAGGUUUGUUGGACCUUGUACACACGGAUGUGUGUGGGCCCUUCAGAGUUGCUACAAGGGAUGCUAAUCGUUAUUAUGUGACUUUUACUGAUGAUUACAGUAGAUAUGGAUAUAUUUACUUAAUCAAGCAUAAGUCAGAAACCUUUGAAAAGUUCAAAGAGUUUAAGCAGGAAGUUGAGAAUCAAUUGGGCAGGAACAUCAAGAUGCUCCGAUCCGAUCGGGGAGGAGAGUAUCUUAGCAUUGAGUUCCUUGACUAUCUUAAGGAAUGUGGGAUUGUCUCACAAUUGACACCUCCCAGGACACCACAGUUGAAUGGUGUAGCUGAGAGGCGCAAUCGAACCUUGUUGGAUAUGGUUCGUUCCAUGAUGAGUCGAGCUUCGUUACCAAUCUCUUUCUGGGGGUAUGCCUUAGAGACUGCCGCCCAUAUCCUUAAUCUAGUCCCUACUAAAAAGGUUGCCAAAACACCUCACGAGAUGUGGACUGGGAAAGUGCCCAAUUUGGACCACAUCAAGAUUUGGGGUUGUGAAGCUUUUGUGAGGCGUGAGACUCAUGACAAGCUUGAGCCCCGAAGCGAGAGGUGUAUUUUCAUCGGCUACCCACAGAGAUCCUUUGGUUACCUCUUCUACAGACCCAGUGACAAUGUGGUCUUUGUAGCAAGAAGAGGAGUCUUUCGUGAGAGAGAAUUCAUAAGCCAAGGGGACAGUGGGAGGCAAAUUGACCUUGAAGAGCUUCAAGAGUCAAGUGGUGAAGGAACCUCAAAUGCUGUCAGCCAACCUGAGGAGGAAACUCCUGUUGAGCCGAUAGAUGAGUCUGUACCUCCAAGACGUUCCACUAGGGUGAGGAACACACCUGAAUUUUAUUAUGGUUAUCACAUCACCACUGAAGGUGAUACAUUUAUCAGUGAUAGUACACUGAUAGAUUUGGAUGAACCUAAUAAUUAUAAGGAAGCCAUGGCAGGCCCUGAGUCUGCGAAAUGGAAGGAGGCUAUGGACAGCGAGAUUCAGUCCAUGUAUGACAAUCAAGUUUGGAACUUGGUUGACAAUGUACCAGGUCGUAAGACAGUUGGGUGCAAAUGGAUCUUCAAGAAGAAGACCGACAUGGAUGGGAAAGUACACACUUAUAAAGCGCGACUGGUUGCGAAGGGCUUUACUCAAACUCCGGGAGUUGACUAUGAUGAGACCUUCUCACCAGUAGCUAAGAUUAAGUCUAUUAGAGUGUUGUUAGCCAUAGCUGCAUUUCAUGACUAUGAAAUAUGGCAAAUGGAUGUCAAAACCGCUUUCCUUAAUGGGAAGUUGGCUGAGGAUGUUUACAUGGCUCAGCCAGAGGGUUUUGUCGAUCCAAAAUACCCUAAUAGAGUGUGUAAGCUUGAAAAAUCCAUUUAUGGAUUGAAACAAGCAUCUCGCAGGUGGAAUCUUUGCUUUGAUGAGAAAGUCAAAGAGUUUGGCUUUUCUAGGAGUGAGGAUGAGUCUUGUGUGUAUGUCAGGGCUAGUGGGAGCAUAGUUAGCUUCUUGGUGUUGUAUGUGGAUGACAUACUUCUCAUAGGAAACGACAUCCCAACUUUGCAGGAGGUUAAGGCCUGGCUUGGGAAGUGUUUUGCUAUGAAGGACCUUGGGGAAGCUGCCUAUAUCCUAGGGAUAAGGAUAUUGAGAGAUAGGAGUAAGAGACUAAUUGGACUUAGUCAAAGUACUUAUGUGGAUAAGGUACUGAAGAGGUUCAGUAUGCAAGAUUCCAAGAAAGGAGAAUUACCAAUCCAGAGUAAUGCCAAGCUAAGUAAGACUCAGAGUCCGAGUACAGAGGCUGAGAUAGCUGAAAUGAGUCAGAUACCAUAUGCUUCCGCUGUGGGCUCGAUCAUGUAUGCUAUGACUUGUACUCGCCCUGAUGUGGCCUUUGCUUUGAGCAUGGUCAGUAGAUAUCAAGGGAACCCUGGCAAGGCACACUGGACAGCGGUAAAGAACAUUCUCAAGUAUUUGCGGAGGACUAAGGACUGGGUCCUUACCCUCGGAGGCAGUGAUGACUUGAGAGUGGAAGGAUAUAGUGAUGCUAGCUUUCAAACUGAUAGGGAUAAUUUCCGCUCUCAGUCAGGCUGGGUCUUUAUCCUAAAUGGAGGAGCCAUUACUUGGAAAAGUUCCAAGCAGGAGACAGUAGCUGAUUCGACUUGUGAAUCAGAGUACAUAGCAGCAAGCGAGGCAGCAAAAGAGGCGAUAUGGCUGAAGAACUUCAUCGGAGACCUUGGAGUUGUACCAGCUAUAAAGGAGCCAAUGGAAAUUUUCUGUGACAGUGAAAGUGCGGUUGCUUUGGCUAAAGAACCAAGAGAUCACGGGAGAUCUAGGCACAUUGACAGAAAAUACCAUUUCAUCAGACAUAGAAUAGAAGAAGGACUCCUCGUGGCAAAGAGGGUAUCAUCAGAUGAGAACCCGGCAGAUCCCCUCACGAAGGGACUGAGCAGGGUUAAGCAUUUACAGCAUGCAAGGCGCAUUGGGCUGAAGGAUGAUAUUAGUUUCAAUAAUUAGAUUCCUGAAACUUGUAAAAUGUAAUUGACAUUUGAUGAUAAAUAAAAGUUGUUAUUUAUUUAUGAGUAAGGUGUUACUAUCUUGUGUUGAUUGUUUACUAUGUUUCAAUUUUGCAUGUUUUUACUUCCAGAAUAAUUAUGUUAUGGUAUAUAUCAUAUUAUUCAAACCAUCCACAGUCGGUCAAACUUUGGAAGUAAGUAUUGAUUCAAGACUGUCAUGAAUUUGGCUUGUAUGAUUUGUCUAAAGUGCUUUAGACAAUGCAAUGGUUGCUACAACAUUCAUGAGUACUCAUAAGGGCUGAGUAUUGGAUUCAACCCACGCUCACUUGCAUCACUUCAUGGAAUUUAUCUCGAGUGAUCGUGAGACGGUAAUAUCAUAUAAAUCUUCAAACCUAGAGAUAUGAGUUGUUGACUAUGAGUUGGUUAUUCAUUGAUUGUACGAAAACACAUUGGUAACUCGAUGUUAUAAAACGUGCCUUUGUGAAUAAUUCAACAAGUAGUUAGUACAAGCAUAUCAGUCGAAGUUUAUCUGUUCCUUCUAGAAAUAGAAGCGAUAUCUG
This 7491-nucleotide long non-coding RNA is filed under the name Lactuca sativa (garden lettuce). Its description in RNAcentral is "long non-coding RNA (LSAT_LNC010021)". Lineage: Eukaryota; Viridiplantae; Streptophyta; Magnoliopsida; Asterales; Asteraceae. The record is from RNAcentral.